RNAcentral lists this ribosomal RNA (536 nucleotides) under Bifidobacterium longum subsp. infantis. Its description in RNAcentral is "bacterial SSU rRNA". It matches the Rfam family "Bacterial small subunit ribosomal RNA", at positions 161 to 711 of the family's 1533-position model. The record is from RNAcentral. Lineage: Bacteria; Bacillati; Actinomycetota; Actinomycetes; Bifidobacteriales; Bifidobacteriaceae.
UGGUAAUGCCGGAUGCUCCAGUUGAUCGCAUGGUCUUCUGGGAAAGCUUUCGCGGUAUGGGAUGGGGUCGCGUCCUAUCAGCUUGACGGCGGGGUAACGGCCCACCGUGGCUUCGACGGGUAGCCGGCCUGAGAGGGCGACCGGCCACAUUGGGACUGAGAUACGGCCCAGACUCCUACGGGAGGCAGCAGUGGGGAAUAUUGCACAAUGGGCGCAAGCCUGAUGCAGCGACGCCGCGUGAGGGAUGGAGGCCUUCGGGUUGUAAACCUCUUUUAUCGGGGAGCAAGCGAGAGUGAGUUUACCCGUUGAAUAAGCACCGGCUAACUACGUGCCAGCAGCCGCGGUAAUACGUAGGGUGCAAGCGUUAUCCGGAAUUAUUGGGCGUAAAGGGCUCGUAGGCGGUUCGUCGCGUCCGGUGUGAAAGUCCAUCGCUUAACGGUGGAUCCGCGCCGGGUACGGGCGGGCUUGAGUGCGGUAGGGGAGACUGGAAUUCCCGGUGUAACGGUGGAAUGUGUAGAUAUCGGAAAGAAACACCA